This 29-nucleotide non-coding RNA is filed under the name Cricetulus griseus (Chinese hamster). Lineage: Eukaryota; Metazoa; Chordata; Mammalia; Rodentia; Cricetidae. The record is from RNAcentral.
AAGAAUGUAACACUUUGAGGGUGACUGUC